UUCCCAAAGUCGUCUUCGUCUCAUUUUGGCCUAACCCUAAUGUGUCUCUCUUCACGAGCUGACCACCCAAACCCAAUAGGCAUCUUUCGAAAACCUUCAAUGAAGCCAAAGUUGAGGCAUAUCUUCAUAUUUCUUUAUCAAAGGUGAAUUUUUUUUAAGGUUUCUGGAAACCAAAAUGGAGCUUCUUCUUGCUUUGGAUUAAUAAAUCACAGAUGAGUUUUCCAUUUAAGGAUUCGUUUGGUUGUUGAUAAAAUAUUGGGGUCGAAGGUCUUAUAUUUUGGGGUUUGUUGUAUUUUGAUUCAUUUUUGCAUAAAUGAAAUAGAGGGAAAUUUUGUUUUGGUUAAAGAAUUUUUCAGAUGGAGUUAAAUCAAGUUCAUCCUAGCAAUAGAAGCAAAGUUUUUCAAUAAUCAAUGGCCCUAGCCUGUGGUAAUGCCUAAACUACCAAUUUAGCUUUCUAUCACUUUGAACAAUUUAAUCUAUGUUUUACUAUAUCUUCUUUCAAUAAGCCUAUUUUUCACAUAAUAGUCCAACUGAUAGAAGUUGGAAUAAUUUCAGACUUGUUUCCUUAAGAAAGAGAAGUCAUCUAAUCUCCUAUGAAAUUGUGUUCUUCUUCGAUGGCUUGUUAGGUUUCUCUAGGGAAAAGGG
Molecule: long non-coding RNA, 645 nt
Filed under: Vitis vinifera (wine grape)
Lineage: Eukaryota; Viridiplantae; Streptophyta; Magnoliopsida; Vitales; Vitaceae
Description: long non-coding RNA (VVIN_LNC003783)
Source: RNAcentral